Long non-coding RNA from Oxyura jamaicensis (ruddy duck), 418 nucleotides. RefSeq lists it as uncharacterized. NCBI's taxonomy places the organism in Eukaryota, Metazoa, Chordata, Aves, Anseriformes, Anatidae. The transcript is spliced from 3 exons. The record is from RefSeq and is a predicted model, not a curated record.
GGGUGGUGUUGAUGCUGGUAUGUGGAGCCAGUCAAGCAUUUUGAGAUGUCCUUCACCUCCCACAUGCAGCAGUAGUAAGCAGGCAAGAGGUUGGAUAAGAGUCCUGUGGAAAGGAAAGUGGCUCAAAGCAUUUCUUGUGGUCUUGCUGACUGGGGAGAACAUGCAAGAACACAAAUUUGACUGUAAGCUGUUUUCUGCAGUGCUGUGGUUUGGUUCACAUCCUGAAACAUGGAAAGACCACAUCCCUGAGACUUCUGAACGAUUAGUGUGUACACUUUUCCAUCGUCCUUUGUUCUAAUGUUGACAUGAAACACCAUGGCAGUGAUUUUUGCAGAUCAAUUAUGCACUGAUUUAAGCUUAAUUUGUAGAUUAUAGUUGAAGGUUUGAAAAAUGUGAAAUUAUUGUCUAAAUGUAAAUG